CCCUUAGACGUUCUGGGCCGCACGCGCGCUACACUGACCAGUGCAACAAGCAUCCGUCCUUGGCCGACAGGCCCGGGCAAUCUUUGAACGCUGGUCGUGAUGGGGAUAGACUUUUGCAAUUUUUGGUCUUCAACGAGGAAUUCCUAGUAAACGCAAGUCAUCAACUUGCAUUGAUUACGUCCCUGCCCUUUGUACACACCGCCCGUCGCACCUACCGAUUGAAUGGUCCGGUGAAGCCUCCGGAUUGGCGCGCACCUCGGUGCCGCCGAGAAGUUGGCUAAACCUUACCAUUCAGAGGAAGGUGAAGUCGUAACA
RNAcentral lists this ribosomal RNA (315 nucleotides) under uncultured eukaryote. RNAcentral's name for it is "partial 18S ribosomal RNA". It matches the Rfam family "Eukaryotic small subunit ribosomal RNA", at positions 1470 to 1796 of the family's 1831-position model. The record is from RNAcentral.